GCAAACAAUACCACAGGGUUAAAACCAGCUAGCAAGUAUUUGUACCAUCCAUUUCCCUAAAUUACCACCUACCAAACAUCCAGGGAGUUGAGGCUGGGAGUCAACUCUCUCUAUCCUCCCUGCCUCCAUCUCUAUCACAGCAGAAGGGGUCCAGUAAAGGUUCACUCACAAGAAGAUGCUAGGACCUUAGAGUAUAUGCAGCAAGUGAUAUUUACCUUUUCUUUGGGCUUCUCAGAACAGCAACCAGAAAGUACAGUGGAGAUUGAUGCUGCCUCUUCUCAUAUACAGUAGCAACAUAUUUUUGGAGCUGAAGACCUCUCACUCCGCUUCCACUUUUGCUGCCCCUAUUCUGCCAUGAGUUUAGCUGCAGCUGAAGGAAGCCUUCUUGAUUCUGCAUCCAUCUUUUCCUUGGCUCUAGUUUCUGAUCUUGUACCUGAAACUACUUCUGGUCUCUUUUACAAGACUCAUCCCACCUCCACUGAUGACCAAAGAUGCUUCUCUCCUAUCAGAAUUCACACGGUUUGGUUGACACCAUCAUGCCAACAGCUAAAUAUCCCAGGAUUUAUGGACAAAUUGAAAAGGAGAUGGAAACAUGUCCACUAAUGACAGAGGAGAUCUUUGCUGCCCCCAUUACACGGGACAAAUGGAUCAGAGGGUUACAAAACAAAGUGUUUUGUGAGGGCAACAAGGCUACGAAAGCAUCUAGUUCUUUUGGACCAGGAGGUCUCAGCAUUUCACAGAACACCAUUCACUCAUACUGCCAUAUAAGUAUUCCUCAAGCCAAUGAGGGUCUCAGUGCUCAGAACAUUUUCAGGGGGCUCUGCCUGCUGCCUGCCCAUAGGAAGCUUUGGGGAACCUGCCUUCAGAAACCCAAGUAGAUAAGGAAUUGAAAAGCCGGGCUUUUUAUUGGAGGGCAUGUGCAAGUACUGUAUAAUGCUUUUCUAUUCUGUUUACUUUGUGACAAAGAAAAGGUCUUUUGGUUGACUGAUGAGGCAAAAAUAAAAAUAGAUACAAAAAAAACUUCAAUUGAGAAACUAGCUCUUUUUCCUUCCUGAUAGUCAUUAAAUUAGGAUAGAGUAAGGAAUGACAACUCUUGAGUUCUGAAAGGUUUUGGUAGGUUACUAGUUGUCUUUCCUUCUAACCAAUCAGUUCCUGAGCUCACUCUCCUAGGUAAACUUGUGUCUGGAUGAGAUACCUCUUGUUGGCGUCUUCUUUCCUUUGGUACAAGACCUUAUGAAAUCUUGAAAGGAUAAAAUAGCCACCAAGUCUUGUGGCUGAGUUUGGGAAAGAGCCAGGUAUGAGGGAUGAGCUGCUUGACACCCAGCCCAGCGGUGGAUUAACCUGACAGCUGAGAAAUUCAUGCAAGCAAGGGACCAGUCUAUCGGUUAUGAAGCACAUGAAACAACUCACUGAAUCCUGAGGGAAAUAUAGAGAACAAGCUCUGGGACCCUAAAUUUGUUAGUAUGCCUCAUCGAGAGUAAUUCUCAGAGUUUCCCUGUUAUUCCAGUAUAUAUUAUUGUCUCCUAAUAGAAACAUAAGGCAAGCCCAUCCUAGAAUGAUGGUUUAUUCAGGAGACCAUGUGCUCAUGAGCUAGCUCCAUGGAAGGAAGGACACCUAACCUCCUCAGCCCCCAAUCUCCAAUUCCCCCCACUCCCAGUCUUCCAGAUCUCAGAGUCAACCUUAUGCUAAGUGGUGUCCACAAGAAGGAAAGACGACAUUUCAUCACAGGGAUACUUGCAGCUUUUUUG
Molecule: long non-coding RNA, 1748 nt
Filed under: Sarcophilus harrisii (Tasmanian devil)
Lineage: Eukaryota; Metazoa; Chordata; Mammalia; Dasyuromorphia; Dasyuridae
Description: lncRNA (ENSSHAG00000024601.1)
Source: RNAcentral